AUGCAAAUGGGGCAGCUUGCUAUAAAAAGCGGCGCGCCGCUACCUUUCCGUGCAGCCAGGUAUCGAUUUUUCCUUGCAUAUCUCCAGCCGGCGGCUACGGCGUGGCGGGGACACCUCUGCCGGCCUGGGAGCCCCCCUCCCAGAGAGCCUGCAUCUAUCGGGCAUCUUUCGGGGUCCCAGCCCCCGAAAUGGCCCCAUCCCCUCCUCUCCUCCCUUGCUGCCAGCUGUGCCCGUGCUGCUCCUGCUGCUGCUCCUGCUCCCCACGCAGGGAGCAGCGAGGAGGGGCCCCGGGGGGGCAGGCGCUGUGGCAGCAUCUCUGCAGCUCCCCGGGUGCCGCCGCCCCCCGGUUCCAGCCUCCCGCGGAGGAGCAGGGUCCUGCCGGGCCGGGGAGGCGGAGGGUCUGGCAGAGCCCACCCGGCAUCUCCGCUGGGCGUCCCGCCGCCGGUGCCCGGUUGUUCUCCGCGGGAGCCACCAGGAGGAGCCUUCAGACCGCGCCCGGUGCCCCAGGCGCAUCCCGCUGCUCCCGGCGCUGCUGGGGAUCCCAGUGCUCCCAGCGCGUCCCGCUGCUCCCAGUGCGUCCCGCUGCUCCCAGUGCGUCCGGGUGCUCCCAGUGCGGUCUGCUGCUCCUUAGAGCACCCCAGGGCUCCCAGAGCUCCAAACGCUCCUGGUGGUCUCAGCGCCUCCUGGUGCUCUCGGGGUUCCUUGUGCUCCCGGUGUGUCCCAGUGCUCCCAGUUCACCUCGGCCCUUCACACUGGUCCCUGGUUCUGCCCUCCCAGGGGUGCUGGCAAGGCCACAGCACCCAGCAGCACUCCAGCCCCAUUCCCACUCUCACCCCCCAAGACCCCACAUCCCACUCGGCUGUCCCAUGGGAAGCCACCGGGAAGGGCCAGAUUCAGACCAGAGCUUUCCCAGAGCCCUCUGGCGGUCCCCAGAGGACCUGGGGGGCUGCUGCUGUGGGUCUGAUUCCCGAGGUGGCAGGACAGCAGUGGGAUGUGGGGCAUCGCCAUCGGGCGGGUGGGUAUGAGGGAGAUGAGUAUGAGGGAGCAGCACCUUCAUCCUCACACACUUCUGGGCAGGGAUGUGCAUGGUGCUGGAGACGGAUGCUGUGCUGCUGGGCAAGGCUCCUGCAGGCACUGGGGUUUGAGGCAGCAUGGACUUCUCCCCUGCUGUCGGGGCGGGUUGCUCCCAGCAGCCCCGCACCAUCCUCGCCUCUGGGGCUGGGGGCGUCCGAUUCCUCCCGCCACCCCCCGUAA
RNAcentral lists this long non-coding RNA (1254 nucleotides) under Anser brachyrhynchus (Pink-footed goose). RNAcentral's name for it is "lncRNA (ENSABRG00000021867.1)". The record is from RNAcentral. Lineage: Eukaryota; Metazoa; Chordata; Aves; Anseriformes; Anatidae.